Molecule: ribosomal RNA, 252 nt
Filed under: Intestinibacter bartlettii DSM 16795
Lineage: Bacteria; Bacillati; Bacillota; Clostridia; Peptostreptococcales; Peptostreptococcaceae
Description: partial 16S ribosomal RNA
Rfam family: Bacterial small subunit ribosomal RNA
Source: RNAcentral
UACGUAGGGGGCUAGCGUUAUCCGGAUUUACUGGGCGUAAAGGGUGCGUAGGCGGUCUUUUAAGUUAGGAGUGAAAGGCUACGGCUCAACCGUAGUAAGCUCUUGAAACUGGAGGACUUGAGUGCAGGAGAGGAGAGUGGAAUUCCUAGUGUAGCGGUGAAAUGCGUAGAUAUUAGGAGGAACACCAGUAGCGAAGGCGGCUCUCUGGACUGUAACUGACGCUGAGGCACGAAAGCGUGGGGAGCAAACAGG